GCAGCAACCAGUUUGGAAGGCACAGCAAAAAAAAAGCCAACGUUCGUUAAAAAAAAUAAUAAUUUUAGCAACGGGCCAGCACUAACACACUGACACGGGCUCCACUGCACACGCUCACAACACUACACACACACACACGCACGCCGGCGAAGAAUCUGAGCUGGAGAAUUGAGAACGGAGAACUGAGAAUCUGAAUCUGGGCAGCAAAGAGACGGAGAACUGAUAGCCAAGACGUUGUGAUCGCAACAACGUUCGCCAGCGGACUGAAAAUCGUCGGCGACUGAGCCAGACUUCAGUUACCCGAGGUGGUGGCAACCAGCAUUGUGCGUUAUGCAUGCCGUCCGGCAGUUAAUUCACAGUUUAGCACAAAUUAUUAAAUAUUUGACGGGCCGCAACGAAAGUGAGAGCGGCGUCGUUGGUGAAAAGGCCCUACACUUCCGCCACUGCACACAGAAUGGCUAAUUUAUGCGAUUAUUGGUAAGACGGCAUUGGCAAGACGGCCCAGUUCGGUCGUCUGUCUGUCAUUUUAAUAACUCUUGCAUUGUGGCCAAGCAGAAAUAACACAAAGCCCAGCGAAACGUGUUCGCCGCAGUGAAAGUAAGAGCCAAAGUCAACAGUCACCCGGUAACUGGCAACUGGCAACAGGCAAAAGGCAACAGGUGGUGACCGCGACGGUCAGAAGCCGAAAACGGCAACGGUUCCCAGCGCAUCCCUGGCAAUAGAUGGUGGGGAUGGGGAGAAUCCGAUCCCCAAAUGGCAAGGGGCCAUCGGAUAUCAAAUGCUAUAAAUGAUGUAGCAUGAAGAUUUCUUUUUCGGCGGUAGUCAAAUAUGAUUAUCAAACUAAACUUAUUUAUUCCUCUAAACUUCUUUGCUAAACCAUAAUUUCUGAUUUAUUGGAGCUUAAUAAAAC
Non-coding RNA from Drosophila melanogaster (fruit fly), 910 nucleotides. Lineage: Eukaryota; Metazoa; Arthropoda; Insecta; Diptera; Drosophilidae. The record is from Ensembl.